RNAcentral lists this ribosomal RNA (405 nucleotides) under uncultured bacterium. RNAcentral describes it as "partial 16S ribosomal RNA". It matches the Rfam family "Bacterial small subunit ribosomal RNA", at positions 30 to 526 of the family's 1533-position model. The record is from RNAcentral.
AUUGAACGCUAGCGGGAUGCCUAACACAUGCAAGUCGAACGAGUCGCGGACGGGUGAGCAAUGUAUCGGAACGUGCCCAGUAGCGGGGGACAACUACUCGAAAGAGUGGCCAAUACCGCAUACAUUUGCAGCGGCCGAUAUCGGAUUGGCUUGUUGGAGGGGUAAAGGCACACCAAGGCAACGAUCCGUAGCGGGUUUGAGAGGAGGACCAGCCACACUGGGACUGAGACACGGCCCAGACUCCUACGGGAGGCAGCAGUGGGGAAUUUUGGACAAUGGGGGAAACCCUGAUCCAGCCAUCCCGCGUGUGUGAGAAGGCCUUCGGGUUGUAAAGUACUUUUGGCAGGGAAGCGGUAUCUACAGAAUAAGCACCGGCUAACUACGUGCCAGCAGCCGCGGUAAUUC